This is a long non-coding RNA of Cygnus atratus (black swan), 531 nucleotides long. RefSeq lists it as uncharacterized. NCBI's taxonomy places the organism in Eukaryota, Metazoa, Chordata, Aves, Anseriformes, Anatidae. The transcript is spliced from 4 exons. The record is from RefSeq and is a predicted model, not a curated record.
CGAGGGAAGUGAUUGUCCCGCUCUGCUCUGCGCUGUGCGGCCUCACCUCGAGCACUGUGUGCAGUUCUGGGCACCACAGUACAAAAAGGACAUUAAACUGUUGGAGAGUGUCCAGAGGAGGGCUACGAAGAUGAUGCAUGUAAAGGCUAACCUCUGUCCUAGAGAUGAAAUUCCAACCAGAGCUGGACAAAGCACAAAUGAUGUGGAGAAGAAUCUCAAGUUACAAGAAUGUGCCCAGUGGCACUGAGAACACUGCCAACAACUGCUUGAGAGCCUACAGGAUCGCCAGACUUAUGAAAGCUGCAGUGCUCAGUGCUCCUGCUUGCUGCUUCCAUCAGCAUCUCUGGAUACGCACUGUUGCUCUGCUAGGUCAUUGCUCUGUUUCUGAGUUUGAGAGAUCCCUGCCUCCUACAGCACAAGGCUACAGAGCCAAGGGUACAGAGUUGUUGCCAUGAAAGCUGCGUUGCUGUGCGUUGAAAUGCUGCUGGAAUUUUGGAACACAGGCCUUUCAGAAGGAAAGUUUUGACAGUG